UCCGGUUUGUCACCGGCAGUCUCAUUAGAGUGCUCUUUCGUAGCAACUAAUGACAAGGGUUGCGCUCGUUGCGGGACUUAACCCAACAUCUCACGACACGAGCUGACGACAGCCAUGCAGCACCUGUGUGCAGGUUCCCUUACGGGCACCCCCGCCUUCCAGCAGGGUUCCGUACAUGUCAAGGGUAGGUAAGGUUUUUCGCGUUGCAUCGAAUUAAUCCACAUCAUCCACCGCUUGUGCGGGUCCCCGUCAAUUCCUUUGAGUUUUAAUCUUGCGACCGUACUCCCCAGGCGGUCAACUUCACGCGUUAGCUGCGUUACCAAGUCAAUUAAGACCCGACAACUAGUUGACAUCGUUUAGGGCGUGGACUAC
This 372-nucleotide unclassified non-coding RNA is filed under the name uncultured Gammaproteobacteria bacterium. Its description in RNAcentral is "contains 16S-23S intergenic spacer region". The record is from RNAcentral. Lineage: Bacteria; Pseudomonadati; Pseudomonadota; Gammaproteobacteria.